CAGAACGAACGCUGGCGGCGUGCUUAACACAUGCAAGUCGAACGCGAAAGGGACUUCGGUCCUGAGUAAAGUGGCGCACGGGUGAGUAACGCGUAGAUAACCUGUCUUCAUGUCUGGAAUAAUACGCCAAAGGGGUACUAAUACCGGAUAUUCUUGCUUUUCAUAAGUUAUGCAAGCAAAGGUGGCCUCUGCAUAUGCUACUGCAUGAAGAGGGGUCUGCGUACCAUUAGCUAGUAGGUGGGGUAAUGGCCUACCUAGGCGACGAUGGUUAGCGGGUCUGAGAGGAUGAUCCGCCACACUGGCACUGGAACACGGGCCAGACUCCUACGGGAGGCAGCAGUGAGGAAUAUUGCGCAAUGGGGGAAACCCUGACGCAGCGACGCCGCGUGAAGUGAGGAAGGCCUUCGGGUCGUAAAGCUCUGUCAAGAGGAAAGAAGUGUACAAUGGCUAAUACCUGUUGUAUUUGACGGUACCUCUAAAGGAAGCACCGGCUAACUCCGUGCCAGCCGCCGC
Molecule: ribosomal RNA, 513 nt
Filed under: uncultured bacterium
Lineage: Bacteria
Description: bacterial SSU rRNA
Rfam family: Bacterial small subunit ribosomal RNA
Source: RNAcentral